Molecule: ribosomal RNA, 494 nt
Filed under: uncultured bacterium
Lineage: Bacteria
Description: partial 16S ribosomal RNA
Rfam family: Bacterial small subunit ribosomal RNA
Source: RNAcentral
GACGAACGCUGGCGGCGUGCUUAACACAUGCAAGUCGAACGGUGAAGCGCCUUCCUUUUUGGUGGGUGUGGAUGAGUGGCGAACGGGUGAGUAACACGUGGGUAACCUGCCCCCUUCUUCUGGAUAACCGCAUGAAAGUGUGGCUAAUACGGGAUAUUCUGGGUCUGUCGCAUGGUGGGUCUGGGAAAGAUAUUGUUUCGGUGGGGGAUGGGCUCGCGGCCUAUCAGCUUGUUGGUGGGGUGAUGGCCUACCAAGGCGGUGACGGGUAGCCGGCCUGAGAGGGUGGACGGUCACACUGGGACUGAGACACGGCCCAGACUCCUACGGGAGGCAGCAGUGGGGAAUAUUGCACAAUGGGCGCAAGCCUGAUGCAGCGACGCCGCGUGAGGGAUGGAGGCCUUCGGGUUGCGAACCUCUUUCGCCAGUGAAGCAGGCCUGCCUCGUUUGUGGGUGGGUUGACGGUAGCUGGAGAAGAAGCGCCGGCUAACUACGUG